Molecule: ribosomal RNA, 435 nt
Filed under: uncultured bacterium
Lineage: Bacteria
Description: bacterial SSU rRNA
Rfam family: Bacterial small subunit ribosomal RNA
Source: RNAcentral
GAGUUUGAUCGUGGCUCAGGACGAACGCUGGCGGCGCGCCUAACACAUGCAAGUCGAACGAGCGAGAGAGAGCUUGCUUUCUCGAGCGAGUGGCGAACGGGUGAGUAACGCGUGAGGAACCUGCCUCAAAGAGGGGGACAACAGUUGGAAACGACUGCUAAUACCGCAUAAGCCCACGGGUCGGCAUCGACCAGAGGGAAAAGGAGCAAUCCGCUUUGAGAUGGCCUCGCGUCCGAUUAGCUGGUUGGUGAGGUAACGGCCCACCAAGGCGACGAUCGGUAGCCGGACUGAGAGGUUGAACGGCCACAUUGGGACUGAGACACGGCCCAGACUCCUACGGGAGGCAGCAGUGGGGAAUAUUGGGCAAUGGGCGAAAGCCUGACCCAGCAACGCCGCGUGAAGGAAGAAGGUCUUCGGAUUGUAAACUUCUUUUAU